UUUCUUUUCACGUUUGGUUCCUGCAAUAAAACAGCUUUAAUUCGAUUCAUUUAUCCGGUCUGACAGGAAGAAGCAACUCAGUGUCACAUCAGACGAUGAAAUUAAGUUUUUUAUUCCCUGCUUAAAUCUUCCAUCUGGUAGCAACAGCUCUACAGUGCUGGCAUUUAUCGAGAGAAGACACACAGCACAGCCUUGCAUAAAUAAUGGCACUGGGCCAAGUACAGCUGAGGUGGUUGCCAGCACAACUCCAUUGAAGUCAAAGGAAUUGCACCACGGGUGAGUUUGGCCGUUGGCUCGGGUUAUGUAGGAGACUUUAACAUGACAAU
RNAcentral lists this long non-coding RNA (326 nucleotides) under Calidris pugnax (ruff). RNAcentral describes it as "lncRNA (ENSCPUG00000004259.1)". The record is from RNAcentral. Lineage: Eukaryota; Metazoa; Chordata; Aves; Charadriiformes; Scolopacidae.